AGAGUGAACGCUGGCGGUAGGCCUAACACAUGCAAGUCGAACGGCAGCACAGUGGUAGCAAUACCAUGGGUGGCGAGUGGCGGACGGGUGAGGAAUACAUGGGAAUCUGCCCAGUCGUGGGGGAUAACGUAUGGAAACGUACGCUAAUACCGCAUGCGCCCUUCGGGGGAAAGCCGGGGACCUUCGGGCCUGGCGCGAUUGGAUGAGCCCAUGUCGGAUUAGCUAGUUGGCGGGUAACGGCCCACAAGGCGACGAUCCGUAGCUGGCUGAGAGGAUGAUCAGCCACACUGGAACUGAGACACGGUCCAGACUCCGUACGGGAGCAGCAGGUACGGAAUAGUUGGACAAUGGGACGCAAGCCUGAUCCAGCCAUGCCGCGUGUGUGAAGAGCCGUUGGUGUAAA
RNAcentral lists this ribosomal RNA (403 nucleotides) under uncultured soil bacterium. Its description in RNAcentral is "bacterial SSU rRNA". It matches the Rfam family "Bacterial small subunit ribosomal RNA", at positions 26 to 429 of the family's 1533-position model. The record is from RNAcentral.